RNAcentral lists this long non-coding RNA (389 nucleotides) under Pan troglodytes (chimpanzee). RNAcentral describes it as "lincRNA". The record is from RNAcentral. Lineage: Eukaryota; Metazoa; Chordata; Mammalia; Primates; Hominidae.
UGCACUUGGAAGGGACGACCAAUAGUUCUGUGUUCCUGACCUGUCUUACAGUCUUUCGCUUCUAUCCGCAGUGGACCGUUUGGCUGAUCACGUCACUCUACAGCUGAACUUCUGCCACAUUUGAGCACCCACAUUAAAGACAAAAGUUGGGGAGAUAAUGGAGAGGCAAGACAACAAUAUGGGAUUGGCUGGAAAGAUGACAGACUGCAUAUGUACAUCAAAUAAAUUCCAAACGCAGCCGUCUAUUCCCAAGGUUUGGACAAAACAAAGGAACGAAUGUGGAACAGAAGUUUCAAAGACCUCUACGGAAAGAUAAAGUUCUCGGAGGUAUCAACCUCAUAUGAAAGGGUCUUUUAAAAGGUCAUUUUAUUAAAGCUAUGGAGAAGAAA